Molecule: ribosomal RNA, 423 nt
Filed under: uncultured bacterium
Lineage: Bacteria
Description: bacterial SSU rRNA
Rfam family: Bacterial small subunit ribosomal RNA
Source: RNAcentral
AAGACCUUGCGCUUUUGGAGCGGCCGAUGCCUGAUUAGCUUGUUGGUGAGGUAAAAGCUCACCAAGGCUUCGAUCAGUAGCUGGUCUGAGAGGACGGCCAGCCACGCUGGGACUGAGACACGGCCCAGACUCCUACGGGAGGCAGCAGUGGGGAAUUUUGGACAAUGGGGGCAASCCUGAUCCAGCCAUGCCGCGUGAGUGAAGAAGGCCUUCGGGUUGUAAAGCUCUUUCAGCCGGGAAGAAAAGGUUGCGAUUAAUAAUCGCAAUUUAUGACGGUACCGGAAGAAGAAGCACCGGCUAACUACGUGCCAGCAGCCGCGGUAAUACGUAGGGUGCGAGCGUUAAUCGGAAUUACUGGGCGUAAAGGGUGCGCAGGCGGUUUUGUAAGUCAGAUGUGAAAUCCCCGGGCUUAACCUGGGAACU